AAUUGACUAAGUGAUAUAGUGGAAUAAUACGGUUAUAUUAGAAUCUUGUUAAGUGAUGAAUAUUUUUAUAGGUAUCGACCGUACUAAAGCUCUCACUCAAGGCUUGAGCAUGGCUUGAGCGUAAGGAUAUUUAUUUAUAGCACCUUGCACUGGACUUCAGGUGAGGAUCCCUAUCCCUUGCCUAUUCUUUCUGGGAAACAGGAUAUAUGCCGAGCAAUCGUAUUGUUCGGUUUAUUAUUGUUAUUACUCGUCGUUUAAAUUCAAUAUAUAUUUAUUGUCGCCUAUCUUGUGAACUAAUUUGAUUUCCGAGAAUUUGUGAUUCUUGAGCUAUUGCAAUCUUCGAUCGAUUCGAAAUCCUUUUUCCUAGAACAUAAUAAGUUCUCAUCUUGAUUCGGGAAUUAUUCCAAUAAUUCUUUUCUCGAUUCCUUGACUACUCAAUUGAGUUCAUUUAUCGACCUUGAAUAAUUCAACUAGUUUCAAUCUGAUUCUCUAUCAAUUUUAAGUCGUUUCACAUGUAUACUAGUUGGAACCACUUCUAUUAUGAUUCAUUAAAUCAUUUGAUUUGUUUCUACAGGGGUUCAAUGAAUGUAAAUCGUUCAAUGACUGGACGAGGUAAGUAGCUACUUAUGCAAGAGCCCAGAUACAUUAUUGAAUUAUGAGUGCUACUAAGUGACAAAUGAUUGAAAUUGAUUCUAUCAUAUUAUUUCUUAUUUUCUAAUUGAAUUUUUUUUCCCUUUCUCAUGUUGGACUUUUUGAUGAAGUGAAAGAACGUUAUCGUGGAAGUCAUAUUUGUUGUCGCUUAACAAUUUAUGAAGUGGAAUUUAUUAUGAAAUAAUUAUAGUAAUCUUUCUUAUUAUUUGGAAUGAUUGAUUUAUUAUUGUAUUUUUGUAUGAUAG
Molecule: long non-coding RNA, 896 nt
Filed under: Erythranthe guttata (spotted monkey flower)
Lineage: Eukaryota; Viridiplantae; Streptophyta; Magnoliopsida; Lamiales; Phrymaceae
Description: long non-coding RNA (EGUT_LNC003932)
Source: RNAcentral